RNAcentral lists this long non-coding RNA (781 nucleotides) under Strigops habroptila (Kakapo). RNAcentral describes it as "lncRNA (ENSSHBG00005018390.1)". The record is from RNAcentral. Lineage: Eukaryota; Metazoa; Chordata; Aves; Psittaciformes; Psittacidae.
GGUGCGGGCCAUGGCGGCGGCGGCGGCGGCGGCGGCGGAGGAGCAGCGGCAGCAGCUGCGCAGCCUGCGGGACUUCCUGCUGGUGUACAACCGCAUGACCGAGCUCUGCUUCCGGCGCUGCGUCUGCAACCUCAACUACCGGCUGCUCACCGGGCGCGAGGUCCUUGAUCCCCUGAUCCACUGGUUCUUGUGCCCCUCUUGUUCCUCGAUCCGCUGAUCCCGGGUCACCAUCCUGUAGGAAUCCUGCCUCGACAGCUGUGCCUCCAAGCUGGUGCACUCCAACCACCGCCUCAUGCGCUCCUACGUGGCGCUGAUGCCCGGCAUCCUGCAGCGCCGUGCAGCCGAUUCGGCGUCCCAGGAGCCGGCACUUCCCGCAGCCCCCCCUGGCCCCAUGGCGGCUCCCGACAUGGGCACGUAGCGGGCGGAUGGCCCCGGGAUGGAUCCGGCCCCGGGAUGGAUCUGGGCCUGGUGCUGGGCUGAGCCUGUGUACGCUGAGCGGGAGCUCACGCCGCUCUGGACCCAGCUGUGCGGAUCCGCAGCCUCCAUCAGGAUUGGGAACCUCCGUCAGGAUCAGGAACCUCUGUCGGGAUCAGGAACCUCCAUCAGCAGCCACCGAGCCUGUCCAGUGGCACCGGGAAAGGGAUCGCAGCGCCAGUGCCUCCAGUGGGGGAUUCCCACUCGAACUCGGUGCCGGCGGCUCCGUGCUGGGCUCUGGCUCCAGCACCGGGGCUCGGAUUUUCAGGAGUGUUUUCCUCGUGCUAAUAAAGUGUCUCAUCCCUGA